UGGAUUAACGGAAAAAUUCUUUUUUAAUUUCAAAAAUUGAAGUUAUUUUUGUCAGUGAAGAAACUACAAUAAAAAUUAAGGACAAGAAGACCCUAAGAAUUUUUAAUAAUUUUAAAAAAGUUUUUUUUAAAUUAUUUUAAUUGGGGCGAUUAACAAAAAUAAGAAACUUUAUUUUUCCAAAAAAAUGAACCAUUAAUAAUGGUCAUAUGAAAAAAAUACUCUAGGGAUAACAGCGUAAUAAUUUUAGAUAGUUCUUAUAGACAAAAUAGUUUGCGACCUCGAUGUUGGAUUAGGAUUCUUAUUUAAUGAAGAAGUUAAAAAAAGAAGUUUGUUCAACUUUUAAAAUCCUACAUGAUCUGAGUUC
RNAcentral lists this ribosomal RNA (364 nucleotides) under Amblyomma variegatum (tropical bont tick). Its description in RNAcentral is "partial large subunit ribosomal RNA". The stretch from base 80 to 364 matches the Rfam family "Bacterial large subunit ribosomal RNA", at positions 2078 to 2612 of the family's 2925-position model. The record is from RNAcentral. Lineage: Eukaryota; Metazoa; Arthropoda; Arachnida; Ixodida; Ixodidae.